This 301-nucleotide ribosomal RNA is filed under the name uncultured bacterium. Its description in RNAcentral is "partial 16S ribosomal RNA". It matches the Rfam family "Bacterial small subunit ribosomal RNA", at positions 509 to 807 of the family's 1533-position model. The record is from RNAcentral.
CAGUCGCCACGGGAAUACGGAGGGUGCGAGCGUUAAUCGGAAUUACUGGGCGUAAAGCGUACGCAGGCGGUUUGUUAAGUCAGAUGUGAAAUCCCCGGGCUCAACCUGGGAAUGGCAGUGGAUACUGGCAAGCUAGAGUGUGUCAGAGGAUGGUGGAAUUCCCGGUGUAGCGGUGAAAUGCGUAGAGAUCGGGAGGAACAUCAGUGGCGAAGGCGGCCAUCUGGGACAACACUGACGCUGAGGCACGAAAGCGUGGGGAGCAAACAGGAUUAGAUACCCCAGUAGUCCCUGUCUCUUAUAC